AGGGCCCCGGCCCGCCUCCCGGAACUUCACUCGGGCCAGAGACCCAGCACCGCCGGUGCGGCCAGCCGGGAGACCGACACCCCGAGUCCCCCCGCCCCGCAGGUACCCCAGUAUGUACCCGACUGCAUACAACUUGCACUCUACCCUGGGUCCUGAGCAGUGAUCGCAUGUGCUAGGAGAGCAACAGAUCAGCACACCUAGCUGGCACCCAUUCCAUGCAUCUUGAGAUGGGAGAUACUCUGGAAGGCAUCGAUAGCGUAAUGGGCAGGGAUGGAGGACUUUUGGCCAGCAAACGAUACAAGAUUCAUCAGCUGAGAAGUGCCAGUAGUUCUGCUCCUGACGCUCUCCAUUGCUCCGGGGCUGAGCUGAGAGAGUGAGUUGUAAUUGUCAGUGCCUCCAGACUCCCUUAAGCGCUGAAGCAAGACCACCAUGACAAAAGGAGUUGGAGGAGCUGAAUGUGAUGGUAUCAGGAGCUACACUGUCAGUUACAAGCUUCAGCCUCAACAUUAUCAGCUACUAAUUUUAUUUUAAGCAUUCUCAGAAUAUGCUUAUGUAUAUGAGCUAUACACAGAAGCUGAAGGGCUGUUAAAAAGAUCUGAUGCAAAACAAUGCUGAUAUAGAGUACUAAUUAUUGCUUGAAUGGAGCGCACAGGAAGAAGUACCAGCUGGCUGAUGAGCCCUCUUCUCUUUUUAACUUAAUUGUCUCUUGUUUUCAAACAGAUCACCAGAGAUGACAA
Long non-coding RNA from Gopherus evgoodei (Goodes thornscrub tortoise), 737 nucleotides. RefSeq lists it as uncharacterized. The record is from RefSeq and is a predicted model, not a curated record. Lineage: Eukaryota; Metazoa; Chordata; Testudines; Testudinidae. The transcript is spliced from 4 exons.